RNAcentral lists this ribosomal RNA (251 nucleotides) under uncultured bacterium. RNAcentral describes it as "partial 16S ribosomal RNA". It matches the Rfam family "Bacterial small subunit ribosomal RNA", at positions 102 to 334 of the family's 1533-position model. The record is from RNAcentral.
AAGAUGGCCGGACCGGCGCGACGGGUGAGUAACACGUAUCCAACCUGCCGAUAACUCUGGAAUAGCCUUUCGAAAGAAAGAUUAAUACCGGAUGGCAUACGAAUAUCGCAUGAUAUUUUUAUUAAAGAAUUUCGGUUAUCGAUGGGGAUGCGUUCCAUUAGUUUGUUGGCGGGGUAACGGCCCACCAAGACAACGAUGGAUAGGGGUUCUGAGAGGAAGGUCCCCCACAUUGGAACUGAGACACGGUCCAA